This 5282-nucleotide long non-coding RNA is filed under the name Heterocephalus glaber (naked mole-rat). RNAcentral describes it as "lncRNA (ENSHGLG00100047793.1)". Lineage: Eukaryota; Metazoa; Chordata; Mammalia; Rodentia; Bathyergidae. The record is from RNAcentral.
UUGCGUAUCAGGCUCACAUUCGUGAAGUUUCAUUUAGAUUCAUUUCGGUUUCCAAGAAUAUGUUAAAGUUCAUUUACGUUUUCAAGAAUAUUGUCCAUUUACCUAGAUUUCAGAUAUCAUUCAUUCUCUUACAACUUUAAAAACUGUCUUUAUAUUUAUGGCAUUAGUUCAGAAAAUAAUUGAAGACAGGCGCUCAAAACUUGUACAAAUACAUUCAUAGCGGCACCAUUCACAGCAGCUAAAAGGUGGAAAUAAGCCAAGCAUUUAUGGCUGAUGAGUGAAUAGAAAGAACGUGGCACUGGAAUACAGAUAUAAUGGAAUAUUAUCCAGUCAUAAAUUACAUGAAGUACGGCAGUAAAAUAUCAUUACACGAAGUACUAAAACACACGGUGAUGUGGAGGGACCCUGAAAACGAAGCUGAGCGGAGGAAGCCGAUCCCAAAGGCCGCGUGCUGUUCAGCUCCCUCUGCAUUUACUGCUCCAAACCGGCAAGUUCUCGGGCACAGAGGACGGGACAAGUGGUUGCCAGGCCGAGGGGCAGGAUUCGUGGGAGUGACUGCUUGAUGGAUGAGUUUUCCUUUCAGGCUGAGGGUUGCAGGACAGUGUGAACGUCGUGAGUCACCACGGAGCUGCUCACUCUCGAGUGGUUCAAAGAUAAAUCUUAGGGCAUGUGUGUUUAUCAACUCCCGGCCCCCGGAGUGUCUCGGGUACGAUGGGAACAAGCCCAGGAGGAAGGUGGCCUGGCUGCUGGGCCAGAGGACAUGGAGUGAUGCUGGCAGUGUACCACGGUGACCUCAGAAAUCUAGGGGUGCGGAGCAGGCAGGUGGGGAGCAGCAUGUUUCUACAGCUGAUGUUGACAUGCUGGGAGAAGAAGCUGCUGCCAGCUGCAGGCCGCCCGAGUUAGAGAGAGCACGUUCGUGUGCGUGCGUGCCUGCGUGCGCGCAUUCCUGUGGCUAAAAUGGGCUGGGACUUACCCUCCUUGGCCACGCCCAGGCUGAAGACAACCUCUCCUCUGCCCUGGCAGGAAGCGUCCGGAGCGCCGCCAGGACAUCUGCUUCAUCUUCCUUGGCAACAAAAGGCGCCCUGAGAGGGACUCUAGGCUGGGGACUGGGAGCAACCCUAACCCUCCUCCUUUUCUCCUGCAGGAGUGGACAGGAGCUCCAGCCUGGAGUCUCAGAGAGCGCCCCAUGCAGGAAGGCAGGUUUCACACCCAGGGAGGCCCAAGGACCCCUGAGCACCUGGGCCGGGAGCAGAGUCCCUUGCGUGGGGCAGCUCCUCCGCUGGGACCUGUUUGGCUUCGGACCCCGGUGAGCUGUCCAGGAGAAAGACGGGGCCUUUGGCUCAGACAGGCCAUAGCUGUCCAGUUCUGAGUGAGCAGAGAGAAGAGACUGGCCAGGCAGCAAAGCCAGACUUUGGUUGGACUGCACUGAGGCCAGGGCACCCAGGAGAUUUCUAGGGCCUGGCUGGCCUGCCCAGAAAGGCCCGAUGGGUGAGACUGCUGUCUCCCAGUGCAGAGCCACUCCCAAACCCAGGGCCCCAGCCCCUGCAGACAUCUCUGAAGAAGCCCUCUCGAGCAUCCUGAGGCUCUGGAGGAUCCCUUCCAGAGAGAAACUCAGCUGGCUUCUCACCCUAGAGAAGAAAGAGGGAGCUUGAAAAGAAGAACUCAAAAAGCACAGUGAUCGAACCAAAGAAAGAAAUCUCAAAUGAUAGAAAUUCAGACCUUGAAGACCAGUCACGGGGAGGAAGGAGGCCUUCCUGGCACGCAGAGCGGGUGCCACGUUCCUGACUUCCUGUGUCUGACCUCCCCUGCUGGGGCCAUCUCUCCUGACGGAGGCUGGGCCUGGCUCCAAGCGCUGAGCUUAGGAGGCAGCCUGCUCCCCUCCAGGCCCUCUGACCGCAGAGCAGCCGAGGAAGGAUAACAAGUUCUGAAAAGAACAACAAAGGCUUGUGGGCUGGGAAACAGGAAGUGGGGCUUCUGCACUUGCAGUCUUCCAGUCCCACCACAAUCUCAGGGCACGCUCUCCAUUGCUAAGUACAGAGAAAUCACAGCCAGCCGGCUUCUGGUUUGCUUCCUUGUUUUGGUUAAAAUCAGUGGAAUUUCUUUUCCUCAAGCAAAAAAUCUUACCCAGAGCUCUAAAAAACAUGACAUGAAAUCAGUAAGAAGGCUUCCCCAGUGAAGUAUUUUCUUGGCCCAAGUGAGAGGACACCACGCCUCCCUGUGGAAUUGGACAACUGGGUUAACUGGGUAACUAUGCUCUUUGUAGAAUGCACCUGAGUAACCUUGACAGCUUCUGGAAUCUGUCACGAAAGGAGCAGAACAGACUCACAAAGUCCUGCCAGAGCUCUUGGCCCACCCCCUCCCCGUGCUUUGUGUAAAUCCUGCUUGCCAUAUUCCCAGGGAAACUCCAAUGAAAAUAAGCCUCGUAGAUGUAAAAGAGGUACAGAAAGAAGAGCGAACUUCUCUUCAGGCUCUCGAGACUGACAGGAGCCACUGGCUGAGCCACCGGCCAUAAAGCCAGUUUGCUCCUUCUUUGUGUGUCAGAGUGCUCUGUCCAGGUGUCCCCACAGUUUCCUGCUUCAGACGAACGCUAAUGGUCAUGGAAUCUCUAAGUUCCUACAGCUCCGUUUUGAUCCUCUGUCCUCAAAGUCAGCUUCUUCUGCACCUGGGAAAACCAACGGCAGAGACUGUUGGCCUGCUGAAACUCUCAGGACAGCAAAGGUGGCACCAGGUUCCCCAGAAAUCCUUCCAGGGCUCUAAAACCAGCAUAAGCCCUUCCUUAGUCCAAAAUGGUAACUUUGAACAGAAGCAGAGCUGCUGAGGCUCUGGCAGUUAGAGGUCCAGCAUCGAAGUCCUUGCCGACUAGACAUCCGGUAAGGACACAGACAGUGUCGUCUCGCUGUCUUCCUGCAUGGAAAGGCAAGAUAGGUCUCCGGACCUUUUUUUAAGAGCACCUGGUCACUGCGUAAUGACCCCAGCGCUAACACUGUUACAGAGCCGAUUGCAUUUGGGCGUGAGUUCUGGGGUUCUUCUGGGGGACCGGCUCUGCCUGGCAGCCCAGCCUUUCUGCAGGGCACAGCCACACCUGCCCAGCCUGCAUGGGCACGCUGCCGUCAGCUCCACACACAGGUGGAAAAUGAGGUCCAACCCUGCCAGAGCAGCCUCCUGGAUGGGCGUGGCAGUCUCCCCAGCCCAUCGCUCCAGGUGCAAGGGUGCCCCCUGUGUGGGGAGGGUGCGCUGGGCUGUCUCUGACCCAAGGAGGUGCUGAGGUCGGAAUGCUCGUGGCCCUCAGUGUCGAACCCCGCCCAUGAUGAGGCGUCCGGAGGGAGGGCGGAAGGGGUUGGGAGGGCUUGGGAGGUCGGAGUCCUGCCUGGGGUCCUGGCCUUCCAGAAGAGCCCUUCCACUGCGCGGGCACACAGGAAGACGCUGCCGCCAGCAGCCGGCGAGCGGCCCCACCACACGAGGAAUCUGCAGGCCCUUGGUCUUGGGCCUCCUGCCUCUGGAACUCAGAUCAUUUCUGUUGUUGUUAGGCCUCUCGGCGUGUGGCGUUUCGUUUUAUAGCCUGACAGGAUGAGGACAGGAGGCCUCACUUCCAACCAUCCCUGGUGAGCGUGGCCUUCUCAUCCAGACCCUGCCGGGGACCAGCCUCCGCUGCCAAGGGCCACAGCCUUGCAGGAUGCAGAGUAGCGACCUGGGCCUCAGCCCGGGGGACCCCCUUUCCGCUGGGCCGGCACGGCCUUCCUAGCCUACAGCCCACACUGGCCUCAGAGUGCUCCAAACACAGCCGCUCACUUGGGCCUCCUGCCCCAGGGCCUUUUCUCUGCCUCCCAAACCCACAGACUCACCUAGCUCUGUGGCCAAAGCACUCUCCCGAGCAGCUCACCCAGCCUCAGCCCCCGGGGCCUCAGUCACCUGCACACCCACAGCAGACCUCACUCGGGGGCACAGGGCCCUGCUUUCCCAGAAGCCUGGCUCAAGCAUCAGACACCGUCUGACCAGUGCUCCGCUGCCGCAGCACAGCUGUCUUCAUGGUCAGAUGCCCGGGUGUAGAGGGGAGGAAGCGGGAUUCCAGCACUUGGAGCCAGCCAUCAGCAGAGGUGUGACACAUCCUAGGGGAGUUGGUCAGGGAGCGUGUCGGGUCUCCUCAUGGUUAGGGCUGUGUGCAGCCCUCCAUGCCUACCUGGGAGGUGGCCACUGUAGGACUGAGCUCCCCCCAAGGCCCCUGACCCCACCUCACCCCCCAGCCAUGUAGCUCUGGAGGCCCCCGGGGCACAGGGCCAGCACAGCCUGCCCUGUCCACACCUGGGCCGGGCCAGGAAGGAGGGGCGCUGAAGGGUCAAGGCCCACAGCUGCUUUGUGCUGUGCGUGAGGAAGCAUCUUCUAGACCCACAUGGCCCCUCUCCGGACUCGUGCACUUGAAAAGGCGGCCACGCCGGGAUUGGAGCCCCCAGAGAGUCCAAGGGUAGCGGAGGCCUGCAGGGAGCUGUGGUGAUCUUCAGGUGGCCGUGGACUCCUGGCAGCUGAGAGUUCAGCUCUGGCAAAGGCUUGCUUAUUCAUCCACUCAGCCACAGCCAGCCAGUGCCAGGCAUUAUACUGGCUGCUGGGACACAGCAGUGGGAUUUAGCCGGGUGAGGCGGCGCACACCUGCCAUCCCAGCUACUCAGGAGGCUGCAGUCAGAGGCCAGCGUGGGCGACUUAGCAAGACCCCAUCUCAAAGUAAAAACUUAACCAAAGAGCUGGGGCUGUAGCUCAGUGCUCCCUGGGUUCAAUCCCCAGCACCACAAGAACAAGGCAGAACUUACAAACUUCCCUGGCUUCUGCUGCAGGGGGAGGAGAACAAGAUGAAGCGGUGACGCGCUCCGCGGUGGUGAUCAGGGGCAGAUGGAGCAUGGAGAGGAGUGUUUGAGGUGCACUCUGACGCGGUGGGAGGAGGCCUCCCUGGUGCCAGACCGGUGACCGGCCCUGAAGAGUGUCAGGGAAGCCCCGGGGCUGGAGCACCCCGGUGAGCCAGAGGGACGGCGGGGGAGGCAGGAUGGCGGCAGCCAUGCCGUGACCUGGGAGUGUCUCAGGAGAUGCUGUCGGGGUCGAGUGGUGGCCCCAAGAGCCUGUGCUGGAGUCCUAUCUGAGGAGCCUACCAGUGUGUGAAAUCUUGCGAGUGCAGUCACCCCAGGGAGCCUCGAGAUGCGCUCAGCCGAUCAUCCAACACAAGGGCUUUUGCAGUGACAUGCAGAGGACAGACGUGGGGAAAGAGGGGAGACCAGGAAAGCCAGAGGCAAAGACUGCAG